RNAcentral lists this long non-coding RNA (416 nucleotides) under Prunus persica (peach). Its description in RNAcentral is "long non-coding RNA (PPER_LNC006559)". Lineage: Eukaryota; Viridiplantae; Streptophyta; Magnoliopsida; Rosales; Rosaceae. The record is from RNAcentral.
AGCCGAAACGAGCUCGCUGGCGAGAUUCCGAAGGAGAUUACAGGCAUGCGGAUACUGAAUUACCUCAACCUCUCGAGAAACCAUCUGGUGGGUAGCAUCCCUUCGUCCAUAUCCACAAUGCAGAGCUUGACAUCUGUGGACUUUUCCUAUAACAAUCUUUCGGGUUUGGUUCCGGGUACUGGUCAGUUCAGUUACUUCAAUUACACUUCCUUUCUGGGCAAUCCUGAUCUCUGCGGUCCCUAUUUGGUUCCGUGCAAAGAUGGGGUUGCCAAUGGCACCCACCAACCACAUGUCAAAGGGUCCCUUACUGCUUCUCUGAAGCUAUUGCUUGUUAUUGGUUUGCUUUUGUGCUCCAUCAUAUUCGCUGUUGCUGCAAUCAUCAAAGCCCGGUCUUUGAAGAAAGCGAGCGAGUCCCG